Molecule: transfer RNA, 65 nt
Filed under: Pthirus pubis (crab louse)
Lineage: Eukaryota; Metazoa; Arthropoda; Insecta; Psocodea; Pthiridae
Description: tRNA-Phe
Source: RNAcentral
AGGGUAAAAGCUUUGGGUUGAAGCGUCACUUUGAAGUUGUGUAGAAGAAAUAUGUUCUUACCCUG